UCGACAUAUUUACAUACAUCAAGAUAUUACCAUUAUAUUAUUUACAUAUUUUUAAUAUGGGGUAAUAAAUGUAUCCUAUCAUGUCCGCACAGCCCCAAACUUCCUUCUAUGUCAAACCUGUUGAAUGCAAUGAAUUCAUCAGCACAUGAAAAAUUCCGUGAUGUAGUGUAACCAAUUUCUUUUCAUAUUUCCUCCAACAUCCGACGAGUGAGUUUCUAUUUAAGUAUACAUAAACAAAGUUUUUAGACAUAUUUAAAAUGUGAAUUAUUCAAUUUGUUACAUUGUAUAUAUUGCAAAUAUUUCCAUGGAGACAAACUGAAGCUCAAUUCGGACAGUUACCAUGUUUGGCUCAAUUCACACAAGUGGAAAUCACUCGGUAAAUGUUAAAAUCGCCUGUCUUAUAACACCACCAAGUAGAACUAUGGAAAUCUGAGAUUCAAAUUCGUCACAUUAAGCAGAUAUUUUUUAGGUCUAACCUACAUUUUAACUUGGGCAAUCAAAUCUUUCAUUUUUCUUGGCUGAGAGAUUAUGCAUAAAAAACGUCUGGAGCAUCAUGGCCAAUGUUUCAACAAGUGCCGUCCUGACGGUUUUCAGAAGAACAGAACUGGACUGUUGCAUUCCCUUCUAAUGGUGGAACGCUCCUGAAUUAUGUAGUUAAGAAAAUUUUUGAAAUUUUAUAUGUAGCACAAUUUAAAUGGAUCUAAUAUGUCUAAGAACGCAUAUUCCUGAGCAUAUUUUCUUUCAUAAUAAUGUAAAUGUAAAAGUUUUCAAACUAUUAACACGUCCUAUCAGAUCUUCAAAUAUCGUUUCAUGAUGUAGGUCCAGGUUAUAAUAUUAUUUUAUAUUUAAUAAUUGAGGCAGGACAAAAAAGAUUAUCAAUUGAUUUAAAAAACAAAUUAGUUAUGUACAUAUGCAGUUUUUAUGCAGAUUGAAAUCUUUCUCAAUUGCAGUUUAUUUCUUUUUAGACUUGGCCCGUUUAAAAAUAAGUACCGUGCUUCAUAAAGCAAUACAAAAUAAUCCCAAAGGGUGUGAUUUAUGAUCCACAUAUGUACAUCACGAAAUAAUACGUCACGUAUUGCUUGGUUACGUAAAAGAUUUUGACUAACAAAUACUCAUUAGUUGAUUGAUUGAGUGAUAUUAAUCCGUCUUGGCCACAAUUACUCGAGCUGCAGACAAAACGAUAUAUAUCUAUUUAUUAAACUUAAUAACAAUUACAUUAAUAAAAUGAGUAAAUACACAUAAGGCGAGAAACGUAGUACAUAGUGCAGAUAUUAGUUCCUGUACUAAUAUAUUAUGAUCUUAUGAUAAUUAUUCUUAUGAUCUCCGUCAAGCUACAGAGCCAGAAGGCUAUGGACAUUCAAUUGUUUUUUCAUACUUAAGAUUCCUCUGGAUCGUAAAAAAUUGACAUUCAGUAAAUUAACACGCCACUGCUUAAAAUUUUUAGGUUUUUAAUUUUUAAGUUGCCCAUUGCAACUGAAAACUGUUCAAUUAUGCAUUUGUAUUUUCGAACUUUCUCCUGAUUUCCAUUUAAAAUCAGGAGAACGUUCGAAAAUAACGCAUUUUUUAUACAAAAUCAAGUCAUGGAAAUCUAUCAUCCGAUAAAUAACCUUUAAAAUUUUUUAUGGCAUAUUAAUUUUGAACGGACAGUAGGGAUUGAAUAAUUCGUAAACAAAAAAAACUCAGAUUCAAUGCUUUACUACAAAAUUAUUCUAAAUCAUUAGUGCUUUUAUUAAUUGCUUACUAAAAUAAUGGCACUUAAUCAGUACAUUCUACUCGUUUUCAUCAUUCGUCUUACAAUAAAGACGGGCGUAUUGUAAUGCACAAUUUAUUCAAUUUAACUGUGGGCACGAUGUUUGUGAAAUACACAGGUCCCACUGAACAUCGUAUUAUUUAGUGUAUAUUGCAACCUUAUCCAACUCUUUGACAGUGUAUGCACAGAGAGAGAUUAUCGUUAAUAUGACGCCGAAAUAAGGGUAGAGAUGCAGUAGAAUUAAUGUGCAGCAACAAUCAUGAUCAUUCGGUUCUUUAGAGUGUGUUUAUUCAGAAUAUAAGAGAACCCCGCACCAAUACAAGACUGACUUUUAUUAACUUGUCCUACCACUAUUUGGGAAGAAUAAAGUUAUAAGGACUUUCCUCAUUCAGGUUUUCGCAAGUUCUAACUCCGUAUUUGCAUGAACUAAUUUACUGUGAAAUGAUAUAUGGCUCGCGCCCAUUUAACUAAUAAUUUAGUGGGUGAACCAAACCGUAUUAUGGUAAAUCGUAUGUCACCAGGUCUUGUAUAAAGGUGUAGGGGUUCUCCGCGACAGCGUGACGAUAUGGAAAUAAUUGGGUUGUACGGCAGAAAGCUCGAUGAAAAACAGGCCGUUCGCGACGUUCCAGUGGGGGGGGGAAGUUGACGCCAAGAGGAUGCUGAUGUCGUUGUUGGUGGGGCUGGAGUCCAUGGUUGCAGAGUGACCCCUGGUCUCCAUUGUUAAUUUAAGAAGAAUGACUGGAGAUAAGGAUAACUUCGCACGCAUUUUUAGCACUGUUUAUAGUCCAAAAAUUGGUGGUGGUCGUGUGAAUUUUCCGUUGAUAGGUUGGACUAUGAUUGAUGGUACUAUCACACACUAUCCUUGAAUAAGUACGGUAGAUUUACGACUUCGUACAAUGUUAGUUUCGCUUCUUCUCGAUGUAGUGGGACUCUCACGUGAAUCGUAAUUUCCUAGCCCGCAAUGUAGCACUUUGCCAAUGGGUAACUGUACAUAGACACGAUGUCCUGGGGACGAAUUGCAAGGGUAGAGUUUUUUUUUCUGGUGGUCAGGUCAGAGUUUUUCCACAUCAGAUUUUAAUUCGUCUGGACCAAUAGCGGAUAAUGGGGUGAGGUGAGACCGGCAGUGGGUGAGGAUGUCUUGAUACUGUAUAAUCUCAGCCAUUUUAUUCAUUGACUGCAGAAUCUGAUUGGUGUUGAUUGACAUCCGGUUUUGAUAGGUGACUUCUCGCUGUCAAGCCCUCGCUUUUCUUUUGUGCAGUUGCUGUCAGAAUUUGUAGUGUACUGAUAGUGAUCGAGAGCCGCUUGGACGUCAGACGUGAAGUUUUCCAUAACUAAAAUAUUACUAUGAUCCGUAAUUAUACUGUCUUUCAUUUUGCCUAAGUGUUCUUUCACAUAACUCUGAGUUGUAAAGAUUGAAUCCAUAUCGGCAUUCGUAACUAAACUACAACAAAAAGAAAAAGCGGAACCUAGUCCGUCUCUAAUUGAAUCAAUGACGACAUUACGUCUUAGUCUAAGAAAGUCCGUAUGGAAAAGUGAGAUUUUUACACUCUCAAUAAGUCCUAAUCUGUUUUCUAUUGCUUCAAUGAAAAUAUGGGACUUUUUAAGAAGGAAACAGUGUGUUAAAGAAACCUCACAUUUUCCGCCGUUUAAAUCUACAGGUAUUAUUUUAGAGAAUUUGAACUGGGAUUUGUAAAUCAAAGGAGAGAUCGAGGUGUACAGGAAGACAUUUUCAACUUUUCGGACGAAACUGCCAGCUACGAUUUUUACUCGUAGUUGAUCUGAUUUUUGUGUCCCAUCACCAACAGUAUUCAUUUCGGGGUCUGACAGUGUUCAACUUAUGAAUGACACAGGUCGUCUUCGGUCUCUGUGAACCUGUAUCAAACUUCCUCCAGUCCUUGAGGAAAUUCUAAAAAUAAAGAACGCUUUAGUGAAUGAAGUUCACACGUGUGUGUACACAAGGAGGACAAAAUAUACAUGUAUGCAGAUAUAUUAAUUAUGCUACAUGGAACAUAGAUAAAAAGUCGGUACAAAAUAAGCUUUUUCACCCUACUCACUUCAAGUUCAUACACACCAGGCUGGAUUUUAAAACGUAUGCCCUCGCAAGUUCUGUGAUUGUAUGUUAUGAAUCAAGAAUUUCUUCAGUGGUAACCGCCUCUAGGGUAAUUUGUACCGGCGCAUAAUGGGCCAGGUGCCGGAAAAUGUGGCCAUUAAGGCAGUAUCUUGAAUUGGCUAUUCUCAUAUACCAUUGUGUACUACAUAACUAACUUGUCCUCCGUGAAAAAUUUUAAAUGAAACGUUACACCCAUCCAGGAGAACCAAGGGUGUAAACUUUUUCAAAUACAUUACGGAGAUAGGGAAAAUGUAUCUACUAGCAUCUCCGCUCAUCUCGGGGCUCAAUUGACUCCCUAUUGAUGUCAAUCGAUACCUAGUAGUAUGAUAAGUAUUCCCUGCUGCGUAUAGCUGCGGUAACCAAAACCUGCUCUGACCACACCUACUCAAAGUUGUUGAAAUCAAGAAAUCAAAUUCAAGCUAAAUCGAUAUAUUUAAACCAACUCAAAAUAUCCUCAGGCAUGCUACAUGCCACAACAGUGUCUGGUUCUCACAGGGACGUAUUUUUAUUGUCAGAGUCACACCCCCAAGGGGGUGUGGCCAUCAUUAGCAUUUUUAUUAUAGGCAACAUAGUCAUGCGACAUAUCAUUCUUCCUGGCUAUAUAAGGGGAUUUUUUGGAGAACGAUAAUUUUAACAAUCAGAUCACCAGGGCCAUUGAACUAUGGGCCAGAUUUUACGAAUUCUGGCCAAAAAUAUAUAUAGGCCGCACUUAAAGUCAUAAAAAUAAUUGUUUGCGUAAACUAAAGUAUGGGCUACCAUGGGCUAGAGGUAAUGUUUAAUAGCAAACUGACAUACCCACAGGGGGUGUUGUCAUUAACUUCAUUUUUAGUCUAAGUAACCCCAGCCAUUAACCCCAUUUUCAAAUUAUUGAUCGAUUUUCAAAGUUGUGACUGUUUGGAAACCUUAGGUCAAUGGACGAAAUACAUAUUUCCAGAUUUUUUAAAUUCGACCACACUCGCUCUAGAUUAAUAAGGUCACAAGGUCAAGGAAAUUGUACAACAUAAUUAAAGAAUACCGCAAAAUUUCAAACACUAUAAGUCGAACUGCAUGUCAAAAAAAUACUUCCGCACCGUGGGCACUACCAGCAAUGUUCAAAUGGUCACAUGCCACACCCCCAGUGGGUGUGGCCCUCGGCGACUUUUCGAUUUUAACGAAACCAUGUCAUGUGAUAUGUUAUUUACCUCAGCUCGACAAUGGGGAUUCGAUACCAUAUCUAAGAUUGGGAAACCGCACCCAUAGUGGGUGUGGUUCUCAGAAAAGUUUCGAUUUUAAUAAAACCAUGCAAUGUGUUAUAUCAUGUUUCUCAGCUCGGCGAGGGGAUCCCGAUAGAAUUAUUAGAUUUUUGAAACCACGCCCCCAGCGGCGUCCAGCGACUUGUUUUCUCCAAUUUUAAAUUACACCCACACCGAAAUUAGGGCAUCCAGAAUCGGAAAAUUUUCAGAAACCGGUUUUCGAUUUUUCCGAUUUUGGCAAACUUUCGUAAAACCGGUUUCCGAUUUUACCGGUUUUUGAAAUUUUCGUAAAACCGGAUUUCAGUUUUCCCAAAAACCGGUUUUCAAAAUCGGUUUUCUACCAAAUUUUUAAAAUUUGUUAAAUAUAAUAUUGUAAAAUUUAAAGCUGAACAAAGCAUUUUGGGCAUUAAAUUGACAGAUAUUUCAGAACAAUUAAUUUUUGCAUGAAAAACAAGAUAUGACAAAUAUUUAGUGGUUUUGAAACAAAUUUUGUCCAAAAUCGAAAACCGGUUUUCGAGUGUGAUAAAACCGGUUUUUGACAAAACCGUUUUUUUAGAAAAUUGUAAAACCGGUUUUCGGGUAGCUCGAAAACCGGUUUUUAACCGGUUUUACAAAAUCGGAAAAACCGAUUCUGGAUGCCCUAACCGAAAUAGCACCAGUAUUUCUACGUUUCUAUUAAGGCUCGUGUUUUCGGUUGUGUCGGUUUUGAGUGCAUUUUCAGUUCAAAUUUUUAUUUGUCAAACAGUUUAAUGUUUUAUAAUUUUACGCUACAUGCUACAUUUAGAACGGACGAACAUAAUUUUAUCUCAAAAAUUACUGAAAAUAAAAUUAUGAAAAUAUGUUUCUGAAAAUUUAAAACUUUUCAUGCUAUUUCCGAAUUUUGAAAAAUGCAACAAAAAAUUGUAAAAAAUUACAAUCUUUGAAAAUGGGUUUUCUUAAUUUAAUGCAAUUCUAAUUAUUUUGUCGAAAUUCCCUCGUUUUUUAAGAUAAAUGAUGUAUUAUAUGACAUGGUAUAGUUAAAAUUGAAAGCUCACUGCAAACUGAUUUUAUGAAUUCCGGCGAAACCCCUGUCCAGCUGAGAAAAAUUAUAUAACACAUGGCAUGGUUUUCUUAAAAUCGACAAUUUUCUUUGGGCCACACCCACUGUGGGUGUGGUUUAACAAUUUUAGGUAUUACAUCGAAUCCCCCUUGUCGAGCUGAGAAAAAUGAUAUAUUACAUGACAUUGUUUCGUUGAAAUCGACAAUUUCCUUAGAGCCACACCCACUGGGGGUGUGGUGCCAAAAUUGUAAUGCUUCUGUCGAUAUCCCCUAGUCGAGCUAAGAAAAAUGAUAUAUCACAUGACAUUGUUUCGUUGAAAUCGAAAAGUCGCCGAGGACCACACCCACAGGGGGUGUGGCAUGUGACUAUUAAAAAUUUGCACUUAUAAUAUAUGCCUUAGGUUAUCGUUUCACACCAAAAUCUAAUUCUUGUUUCUUCAAAUUCGGCUCCUAUAUAUUUUUGGCCACAAUUUAUUAAAUCUGGCCCAUAGUGCGGCGUAUCAUAAUUGUUUUAACAGAAAACAUCAUAUGUAACGUCGUAACAUAACACAAUAACAUAACAUAAUAUAACAUUAUACAUAACAAUCAUAUAUCACAAUUUCCUAUAUUUGCCUUUGUCAUAAUCUGCCCUUAAAUUAAAAAUUAUGUAUGUACUUUACAUGCAUAUAUGUAGUAUGCACUUUAAUUCAUCCAUACGCCCUGUUUCACAAGCAAAAAGUCUUUCUGAAGUAAGGUACACUUUGGUUGUCUUAAAAAGCCGUCUUCCUUAAAAGUCGUCGCAAUUGUAACUGCGUUGACACUGAUCUUUUAUUUGCAAAAAACUGGGCUGCUGAAUAUUCAUGUGCUUUUCGCGAGGUUUACAUACGUUUGCCAUAUUGUGACUUUAUAACUUGCUACUACGACUUGCUGUAGGAGUAAUUUUUUAAUCAAUAAUUGUUAAUUUCAUAAUAUUUUAUUAACAAAUUUUCUAAUUUGUUAAAAACACUCAUUAAUAACCAGGCUAUAUUUAUUUAUUCCAAAUUACCAACUUUAUAAAAAAAGUAGAACAAGCAUUACUUAAUUCGGCCAUAAAUCAAUCAAUCAAUCAAGUUCGUGACAUUUUCUGCUUUGUAUAAAGCUAUUUAAGCCAAAAACCAAAUCCUCAAUUUUCCGGUACAAAAAGUAAAAAAAAAUGUAUUUAGUCUUAACUUCAUAAUAUAUGUAGGCUUCUGCAAACUCGGUUUUGUACACCUGUUUAUAUUGGUUUAGAAUAAUCCGACGUUAUAAAAAUAUUAGUCAAUCUAGCAAAAAGGUAAAUUGUAUAAUUUCACGAUUAUGGUAUAAUUCAAGUGAAUACAAUUGUAACACUUCUUCAAUAAUAAUUUAUUCUGUAAUCGUGUAGAAAUAUACUAAAUGCAAAUGUACAUUUUUGUGUGUUAUUUUUUAAAAUUAUGAUUUGUAUACAUGUAUGUACAUAGGUACAUCCUUACCCCAAUUUUAAAAAUUAAACAAUUCCUUCUCAUUUACAUAUAAAUGAAUGACCCAACUACUGUGUACCCAUUUUUGACCAGAUAUUUUCAGAAACAUUUCGCAUUUAUUUAUUAAUUUGGUUAUCGAAAAUAAAUCGAAUUAGUCAAGCACUGUCACAAACA
Molecule: long non-coding RNA, 7761 nt
Organism: Folsomia candida
Lineage: Eukaryota; Metazoa; Arthropoda; Collembola; Entomobryomorpha; Isotomidae
Exons: 4
Source: RefSeq, a predicted model, not a curated record